CCUACAUGAAGCUGGAAUUGCUAGUAAUCACAGGUCAGCAUACUGUGGUGAAUACGUUCCCGGGCCUUGUACACACCGCCCGCCACACCAUGAGAGUUGAGAAUACCCGAAGCCCAUGUCAAAGUGGUCGAAGGUAGGCUUGAUGAUUGGGGUGAAGUCGUAACAAGGUAGC
This 172-nucleotide ribosomal RNA is filed under the name uncultured bacterium. RNAcentral's name for it is "partial 16S ribosomal RNA". It matches the Rfam family "Bacterial small subunit ribosomal RNA", at positions 1315 to 1500 of the family's 1533-position model. The record is from RNAcentral.